This 465-nucleotide ribosomal RNA is filed under the name uncultured Klebsiella sp. RNAcentral describes it as "bacterial SSU rRNA". It matches the Rfam family "Bacterial small subunit ribosomal RNA", at positions 338 to 795 of the family's 1533-position model. Lineage: Bacteria; Pseudomonadati; Pseudomonadota; Gammaproteobacteria; Enterobacterales; Enterobacteriaceae. The record is from RNAcentral.
CCUACGGGUGGCUGCAGUGGGGAAUAUUGCACAAUGGGCGCAAGCCUGAUGCAGCCAUGCCGCGUGUGUGAAGAAGGCCUUCGGGUUGUAAAGCACUUUCAGCGGGGAGGAAGGCGUUAAGGUUAAUAACCUUGGCGAUUGACGUUACCCGCAGAAGAAGCACCGGCUAACUCCGUGCCAGCAGCCGCGGUAAUACGGAGGGUGCAAGCGUUAAUCGGAAUUACUGGGCGUAAAGCGCACGCAGGCGGUCUGUCAAGUCGGAUGUGAAAUCCCCGGGCUCAACCUGGGAACUGCAUUCGAAACUGGCAGGCUAGAGUCUUGUAGAGGGGGGUAGAAUUCCAGGUGUAGCGGUGAAAUGCGUAGAGGUCUGGAGGAAUGCCGGUGGCGAAGGCGGCCCCCUGGACAAAGACUGACGCUCAGGCGCGAAAGCGUGGCGAGCAAACAGGAUUAGAUACCCGAGUAGUC